This 452-nucleotide ribosomal RNA is filed under the name Candidatus Goertzia sp. RNAcentral's name for it is "bacterial SSU rRNA". It matches the Rfam family "Bacterial small subunit ribosomal RNA", at positions 279 to 748 of the family's 1533-position model. Lineage: Bacteria; Pseudomonadati; Pseudomonadota; Alphaproteobacteria; Holosporales; Holosporaceae. The record is from RNAcentral.
AUCUGUAGCUGGUCUGAGAGGAUGAUCAGCCACACUGGGAUUGAGAUACGGCCCAGACUCCUACGGGAGGCAGCAGUGAGGAAUAUUGGACAAUGGGGGAAACCCUGAUCCAGCAAUGCCGCGUGAGUGAAGAAGGCCUUUGGGUUGUAAAGCUCUUUUACUCGGGAAGAUGAUGACGGUAGCGAGAGAAAAAGUUCCGGCUAACUCUGUGCCAGCAGCCGCGGUAAGACAAAGGGAACUAGCGUUGUUCGGAUUGACUGGGCGUAAAGGGUGCGUAGGUGGUCACUUAAGUAAGAUGUUAAAGCCCAGGGCUUAACCCUGGAAUCGCGUUUUAAACUGAGAGACUAGAGUGUGGUAGAGGAAAACGGAAUUCCUAGUGUAGAGGUGAAAUUCGUAGAUAUUAGGAGGAACACCGGAGGCGAAGGCGGUUUUCUGGGCCAUUACUGACACUG